UUGUCUGGAGGUGAUUUUUAUAGUCACGUGGGAUUUGUUUUCUUGAUCUAGAUGGUGCUGAAAUGGGAGGAGUUAGCUAAUCAGAAACAAUGUGGUUUUUCUGGGUUUAUUAAUCAAGAUAACUGAAAGUAAUCGGUAUCGUAUGUAUUUUUUUAACCUUUAUAUAUAAGGCAUCUCGCACAGAUUCGGUCAUAAUCAAUCAGUUCUCAAUACGAGUAAGGUUUUCUUUAAAGGAGCGGAAAAAUGAACCACAAAAGCCUCUUUCUCAUUGCAGUCCUGGCCUUUUUGUCCCUGAGUUGCAUCAUUUCAGAACAUGGUACAGCACUGGCUUUUCAUCAUCAUAAAGGCGACGACAACCGUAUUCUCGAAAUGCUGGCUGCUGGUUUAAUUGUUAAGCUGAUGCAAGAACAUCAUCAUGGUCGAUAAAACUUGGAAAAACUAUUUAGUAUUAGACUGAAAGAUGCCAACACUUUGUACAAUUUUGUAGAAAUAUGUAAAUACUGAGUACAUGUUUUUGAAAUAAAUCCUUUCUUUUU
Parasteatoda tepidariorum (common house spider) is the source of this 536-nucleotide non-coding RNA. The record is from RefSeq and is a predicted model, not a curated record. NCBI's taxonomy places the organism in Eukaryota, Metazoa, Arthropoda, Arachnida, Araneae, Theridiidae.